AUUGAACGCUGGCGGCAUGCUUUACACAUGCAAGUCGAACGGUAACAGGGAGCUUGCUCCGCUGACGAGUGGCGAACGGGUGAGUAAUGCAUCGGAACGUACCCAGUCGUGGGGGAUAACGUAGCGAAAGUUACGCUAAUACCGCAUACGUCCUGAGGGAGAAAGCGGGGGACCGUAAGGCCUCGCGCGAUUGGAGCGGCCGAUGUCGGAUUAGCUAGUUGGUAGGGUAAAGGCCUACCAAGGCGACGAUCCGUAGCGGGUCUGAGAGGAUGAUCCGCCACACUGGGACUGAGACACGGCCCAGACUCCUACGGGAGGCAGCAGUGGGGAAUUUUGGACAAUGGGCGAAAGCCUGAUCCAGCCAUGCCGCGUGAGUGAAGAAGGCCUUCGGUGUAAGCUCUUUCAGCCGGAAAGAAAUACGCGCAGGAGUAAUACUCUGCGUGGAUGACGGUACCGGAAGAAGAAGACACGGCUAACUACGUGCCAG
Molecule: ribosomal RNA, 487 nt
Filed under: uncultured bacterium
Lineage: Bacteria
Description: bacterial SSU rRNA
Rfam family: Bacterial small subunit ribosomal RNA
Source: RNAcentral